GUAUAUUUGUUAUCAAAUAGUACACGUUCUAAGACUUAAAAAUGUGGGUGUAAAAAAGCAGGCCGCAAAAUAACUCGCAGCCUGAAAGGUGCACAGGUGUGAGAAUGAAGAGGGUCAAGCUCCCCGGAGGGUGCUUUGUUCUCUAAUGAUCCUUCCGCAGGUUCACCUACGGAAA
This 175-nucleotide unclassified non-coding RNA is filed under the name uncultured fungus. Its description in RNAcentral is "sequence contains ITS1". Lineage: Eukaryota; Fungi. The record is from RNAcentral.